Molecule: transfer RNA, 85 nt
Filed under: Streptomyces sp. b94
Lineage: Bacteria; Bacillati; Actinomycetota; Actinomycetes; Kitasatosporales; Streptomycetaceae
Description: tRNA-Ser
Rfam family: tRNA
About the family: Transfer RNA (tRNA) molecules are approximately 80 nucleotides in length. Their secondary structure includes four short double-helical elements and three loops (D, anti-codon, and T loops).
Source: RNAcentral
GGAGAGGUGCCCGGAGCGGCUCAACGGGGACCAGAGAACGGUCGGGCCCACAAAGCCCACGCAGGUUCGAAUCCUGCCCUCUCCG